GUGUGGGGAAAAAGUGUUUCAAGAAGGAGGGAAUAUACAACCAGGUCAAAUCUUGCUGUAGUCCAAAUAAGAGCUGGAGCUGAAAGGGAAGGAAAGGGAGUUCCACGAGGAGUUUGAGCACCCGAAGCGGGUCCACCAGGAGGGAGAAGUGCAAGGUGGUGGAAAACCACUAGGAACUGGAGGAGGAGACCAAUGCUUUCAGCUGACUGAAGGCCGUGGUAGAGGCAUUGCAGUCGCAGGCUUUGCAAUUUCACCUUGCAGCAGCCCCUGUGGAAGGCAAGGACAAGAAUCAACAGAUGCGCACUUACAUGUCAAGAGUGGACUUUAGACUUUCAUGUGUUCAGUUGCUUGAGUUACACCUUGUGACUCUUCUCUCAUAACACGGUGUGAGGACAGACUGGGAGCUGGUACAGAUUCCAGUGUUUAACAGCCUUGCUUUCCUCUACCCCACCCCAGGUCCAGGUUUCCCUGGGCCUGGCGGGUCACCCC
RNAcentral lists this long non-coding RNA (489 nucleotides) under Pan troglodytes (chimpanzee). RNAcentral's name for it is "long non-coding RNA NONPTRT016578". Lineage: Eukaryota; Metazoa; Chordata; Mammalia; Primates; Hominidae. The record is from RNAcentral.